CCUACGGGGCGCAGCAGUGAGGAAUAUUGGUCAAUGGGCGUACGCCUGAACCAGCCAAGUCGCGUGAGGGAAGACUGUCCUAUGGGUUGUAAACCUCUUUUGUCAGGGAGCAACGCCGGCUACGUGUAGCCGGACUGAGAGUACCUGAAGAAAAAGCAUCGGCUAACUCCGUGCCAGCAGCCGCGGUAAUACGGAGGAUGCGAGAGUUAUACGGAUUUAUUGGGUUUAAAGGGUGCGUAGGCGGAAUGCCAAGUCAGCGGUAAAAUCGCGGGGCUCAACCUCGCUCCGCCGUUGAAACUGGCGGUCUUGAGUGGGCGAGAAGUAUGCGGAAUGCGUGGUGUAGCGGUGAAAUGCAUAGAUAUCACGCAGAACUCCGAUUGCGAAGGCAGCAUACCGGCGCCCAACUGACGCUGAGGCACGAAAGCGUGGGUAUCGAACAGGAUUAGAUACCCCUGUAGUC
Molecule: ribosomal RNA, 460 nt
Filed under: uncultured bacterium
Lineage: Bacteria
Description: partial 16S ribosomal RNA
Rfam family: Bacterial small subunit ribosomal RNA
Source: RNAcentral